GACGAACGCUGGCGGCGUGCCUAAUACAUGCAAGUCGAGCGCAGGAAGUCAUCCGAACCCUUCGGGGGGACGUUGACGGACUGAGCGGCGGACGGGUGAGUAACACGUAAAGAACCUGCCCUCAGGUCUGGGAUAACCACGAGAAAUCGGGGCUAAUACCGGAUGGGUCAUCGGACCGCAUGGUCCGAGGAUGAAAGGCGCUCCGGCGUCGCCUGGGGAUGGCUUUGCGGUGCAUUAGCUAGUUGGUGGGGUAAUGGCCCACCAAGGCGACGAUGCAUAGCCGACCUGAGAGGGUGAUCGGCCACACUGGGACUGAGACACGGCCCAGACUCCUACGGGAGGCAGCAGUAGGGAAUCUUCCACAAUGGACGAAAGUCUGAUGGGGCAACGCCGCGUGAACGAUGAAGGCCCUCGGGUCGUAAAGUUCUGUUGUAAGGGAAGAACAAGUGCCGCAGGCAAUGGCGGCACCUUGACGGUACCUUGCGAGAAAGCCACGGCUAACUACGUG
Molecule: ribosomal RNA, 508 nt
Filed under: uncultured bacterium
Lineage: Bacteria
Description: partial 16S ribosomal RNA
Rfam family: Bacterial small subunit ribosomal RNA
Source: RNAcentral